UUUGGGUUUGGUUCGGAUCUACUCCGGUUUUAGAUUUUCAGAGUUAAAGAUAUCAGUUCCAUUAAGGUGUUUAUAAGUUUUAAUUUAAUAUUAUAAAAUUUCAAAAUAAAAAUAUUUUCUACAUUUUUUAAAAAUUUAAAACUAUAACUUUCUAAAUAUAGAUUAAUAUUUAUUAUAAUAUUAUAUUUUUGAUAUUUUUAUAAUUAUAUAAAAUGUAAAUAUUGUUAAUUUAUUAUCUAACUGUUGUUGUAUUUGAUAAUUAACCAGUCAUAAGUAUCUUGCAAACACACCAAUUUUUAACCGCAGAACCAGUCGUACAAAUUUCUUAAAACCGCUAGAAACCGCAACCAUCCGCUAUGGGUGACCCGCAUCCGCAAAUUCCCGCAACCGCAACAGCUGCGUUUGAACCAGUCAGGCCCUUAUUCGGAUCAGAUUUGGGUCACCUGUAUCACCUUCGUAUGAAAUAAUAUAAAAAAUAAAUUCUGCGUUUUCAAAGCGCGGAUCAAAAUCCAUUAUUAAAAGUAAGUUUAAAUCAGUUAUUUAUCAAAUACAAGACAAAUUGUACAAAAAGAAUUAAGUUUUGGCAAAUAAAUUGAGAACGGAAAAUCGAACCAAAAUAAUAUAAAAACAAAACCAAAACCAAAACUAAGUCAAUGUUAACAAAUAUCUUAACAGUUCCUAUAUCGCUGAAACAGAAAAUCUGACACCAAAUUGAAACUAAACCGAAAACUGAAUGGGUACCUGAAUAUAUUAAAUACAGUUUAUACACCUUUAAAAUAUUAAUUAUUUUUAGUCUUAAAAUUAUCAAAUAUUCUAACACUAAUAUAUAUAACCGAACAACCCAAAAAUGGAUUGCCCUUUUACUUUUUAUCCGAGACAUUUAAAAUUUUCGUUUUUUCCCGAUAGAACAUAAUCACCAAAAAAAAAAUAUUCGAAAUAUUUAAAUUUGUUCAAGUUAUCCC
Molecule: long non-coding RNA, 962 nt
Filed under: Brassica rapa (field mustard)
Lineage: Eukaryota; Viridiplantae; Streptophyta; Magnoliopsida; Brassicales; Brassicaceae
Description: long non-coding RNA (BRAP_LNC000477)
Source: RNAcentral